CAGCCGCCGCGGUAAUACGUAGGUGGCAAGCGUUGUCCGGAAUUAUUGGGCGUAAAGCGCGCGCAGGCGGUCUCUUAAGUCUGAUGUGAAAGCCCCCGGCUCAACCGGGGAGGGUCAUUGGAAACUGGGAGACUUGAGUGCAGAAGAGAAGAGUGGAAUUCCACGUGUAGCGGUGAAAUGCGUAGAGAUGUGGAGGAACACCAGUGGCGAAGGCGACUCUUUGGUCUGUAACUGACGCUGAGGCGCGAAAGCGUGGGGAGCAAACAGGAUUAGAUACCCUGGUAGUCCACGCCGUAAACGAUGAGUGCUAAGUGUUAGAGGGUUUCCGCCCUUUAGUGCUGCAGCUAACGCAUUAAGCACUCCGCCUGGGGAGUACGGCCGCAAGGCUGAAACUUAAAGGAAUUGGCGGG
Molecule: ribosomal RNA, 410 nt
Filed under: uncultured microorganism
Description: bacterial SSU rRNA
Rfam family: Bacterial small subunit ribosomal RNA
Source: RNAcentral